AUGGUGUUCAGGCGCUUGGUGGAGAUUGGCCGAGUGGCCUAUGUCUCCUUUGGGCCUCAUGUUGGAAAGCUUAUGGCGAUUAUAGAUGUUAUUGAUCAAAACAGGGCUUUGGUUGAUGGACCUUGCACUCAGGUAAGAAGAUAGGCCAUGCCUUUCAAAUGCAUGCAACUCACCGACCUCAUCCUCAAGUUCCCAUCCAGUGCCGGCAGAAGUAUGUCCGACAAGCCUGGCAGAAGGCCAAGAAAAUUGAAGCCAGAGAAAGGAAAGCUAAAAUGACAGAUUUUGAUCAUUUUAAAGUUAUGAAGACAAAGAAAAUGAGGAACUGAAUAAUCAAGAAUGAAGUUAAGAAGCUUCAAAAAACAGCUCUUCUGAAAGCUUCUCCCAAAAAAGCACCUGCUAAGGGCGUUGCUGCUGUUGCAGCAGCUACUGCUAAAGUUCCAGCAAAAAAGAUGACAACAACAACAACAAAAAAAAGAUGACAACUGCAGGCAAGAAGACUGCAGCCCAAAAAGCCACAGGCCAGAAGGCAGCACCUCCUCCAAAAGCUCAGAAGGGUCAAAAGGCUCCAGCCCAGAAAGCACCUGCUCCAAAGGCAUCUGGAAAUAAAGCAUAAGAGGCUAUAAUGAAAGUAAUAAAGGUUCUUUUUGACAUGUUCAAAAAA
Molecule: RNA transcript, 661 nt
Organism: Nycticebus coucang (slow loris)
Lineage: Eukaryota; Metazoa; Chordata; Mammalia; Primates; Lorisidae
Gene name: 60S ribosomal protein L14-like
Exons: 1
Source: RefSeq, a predicted model, not a curated record